RNAcentral lists this ribosomal RNA (499 nucleotides) under uncultured bacterium. RNAcentral's name for it is "partial 16S ribosomal RNA". It matches the Rfam family "Bacterial small subunit ribosomal RNA", at positions 899 to 1397 of the family's 1533-position model. The record is from RNAcentral.
ACUCAAAUGAAUUGACGGGAGCCCGCACAAGCGGUGGAUUAUGUGGUUUAAUUCGAAGCAACGCGCAGAACCUUACCUAGGUUUGACAUCCUUUGACAACUAGAGAGAUCUAGCUUUUGUAGCAAUACAACAAAGUGACAGGUGCUGCAUGGCUGUCGUCAGCUCGUGUGGUGGCAUGUCGGGUUAAGUCCCUCAACGAGCGCAACCCCUAUCUUUAGUUGCCAGCAUUAAGUUGGGCACUCUAGAGAGACUGCCGUGGUUAACACGGAGGAAGGCGGGGAUGACGUCAAGUCCUCAUGGCCCUUACAUCUAGGGCGACACACGUAAUACAAUGGUCGAUACAGAGGGAUGCGAAAUGGUGACAUGGAGCAAAUCUCAAAAAGUCGAUCUCAGUUCGGAUUAGAGUCUGCAACUCGACUCUAUGAAGGUGGAAUCGCUAGUAAUCGCGGAUCAGCACGCCGCGGUGAAUACGUUCCCGGGCUUUGUACACACCGCCCGU